UUGACCUACGGGGGGCAGCAGUGGGGGAUAUUGCACAAUGGGGGGAACCCUGAUGCAGCGACGCCGCGUGGGUGAAGGAGCGUUUCGGCGCGUAAAGCCCUAUCGGCAGGGAAGAAGAUGACGGUACCUGACCAAGAAGCCCCGGCUAACUACGUGCCAGCAGCCGCGGUAAUACGUAGGGGGCGAGCGUUAUCCGGAUUCACUGGGUGUAAAGGGAGCGUAGACGGCCAAGCAAGCCAGGGGUGAAAGCCCGGGGCCCAACCCCGGGACUGCCCUUGGAACUGCAUGGCUGGAGUGCGGGGGGG
Molecule: ribosomal RNA, 305 nt
Filed under: uncultured bacterium
Lineage: Bacteria
Description: partial 16S ribosomal RNA
Rfam family: Bacterial small subunit ribosomal RNA
Source: RNAcentral